GAUGAACGCUAGCGGCAGGCUUAAUACAUGCAAGUCAAGGGGGUAGCAAUACAACCGGCGCACGGGUGAGUAACGCGUACACAACAUACCAUAUACUGGAGUAUAGCUUUGGGAAACUGAAGGUAAUCCUCCAUAACAUUGCGAGAGGGCAUCUGAUUGCAAUUAAAGUUUCGGCGGUAUAUGAUUGGUGUGCGUUUGAUUAGCUAGUUGGUAGGGUAACGGCCUACCAAGGCGACGAUCAAUAGCUGGCGUGAGAGCGCGACCAGCCACACUGGAACUGAGACACGGUCCAGACUCCUACGGGAGGCAGCAGUAGGGAAUAUUGGACAAUGGAGGAAACUCUGAUCCAGCCAUGCCGCGUGAUAGAUGAAGGCCCUCUGGGUUGUAAAUAUCUUUUAUCUGGGAAGAAACACUCCUAUUCUUAGGAACUUGACGGUACCAGAGGAAUAAGCACCGGCUAACUCCGUGCCAGCAGCCGCGGUAAU
This 485-nucleotide ribosomal RNA is filed under the name uncultured bacterium. Its description in RNAcentral is "bacterial SSU rRNA". It matches the Rfam family "Bacterial small subunit ribosomal RNA", at positions 28 to 524 of the family's 1533-position model. The record is from RNAcentral.